RNAcentral lists this unclassified non-coding RNA (266 nucleotides) under Hevea brasiliensis (rubber tree). Lineage: Eukaryota; Viridiplantae; Streptophyta; Magnoliopsida; Malpighiales; Euphorbiaceae. The record is from RNAcentral.
GCCAAUAUCACAUGAUUAUAAUGGUCCCUUGGAUGAACCCUUGAAACAUAACCCAAUUUCAUCAAAUCUGCACUGGCCAACAGAGCUUGAGCAGUCCACUUAGCCAAUUUAUUGGCAUUGUUCUUCAAUUCAGUGGCCAAAACAGCACCUCUUUGAGUCUCCAACUUCUGCCUCCAAUCAACUCCUGAAUAUUUAGGGUCAAACUCAUUAAGAGCAUUCAACGUCAAAAACGACCUCUGUUUGUUAACCUCCACAACACUCUGCAC